This 70-nucleotide transfer RNA is filed under the name Hyphessobrycon amapaensis. RNAcentral describes it as "tRNA-Pro". It matches the Rfam family "tRNA". Rfam says of the family: Transfer RNA (tRNA) molecules are approximately 80 nucleotides in length. Lineage: Eukaryota; Metazoa; Chordata; Actinopteri; Characiformes; Acestrorhamphidae. The record is from RNAcentral.
CAGAAAAUAGUUUAGUUUAGAAUACUAGCUUUGGGGGUUAGUGGUGAAAGUUGAAAUCUUUCUUUUCUGG